AGUGAACGCUGGCGGUAGGCCUAACACAUGCAAGUCGAACGGCAGCACCGUAAGAGCUUGCUCUUACGGGUGGCGAGUGGCGGACGGGUGAGGAAUACAUCGGAAUCUACUUUUUCGUGGGGGAUAACGUAGGGAAACUUACGCUAAUACCGCAUACGACCUACGGGUGAAAGCAGGGGAUCUUCGGACCUUGCGCGAUUGAAUGAGCCGAUGUCGGAUUAGCUAGUUGGCGGGGUAAAGGCCCACCAAGGCGACGCUCCGUAGCUGGUCUGAGAGGAUGAGCGGCACGACGGGAAAUGAGACACGGUCGAGACUACUAAGGGAGGCAGAAGUAGGGAAUUGUGAGGGAUGGGCGCAAGCCGGACGGAGCAGAGCCGAGUGAGUGAUGAAGGUCUUCGGAUAGUAGAACUCUAUUAUGAGGAAAGAAAAUAUGGGUACGUAACUGUGCCGAUCUUGAAGGUACCUAAUCAGAAGGACAGGGCUAACUACGUG
RNAcentral lists this ribosomal RNA (492 nucleotides) under uncultured bacterium. RNAcentral describes it as "partial 16S ribosomal RNA". It matches the Rfam family "Bacterial small subunit ribosomal RNA", at positions 29 to 507 of the family's 1533-position model. The record is from RNAcentral.